GAUGAACGCUGGCGGCGUGCCUAAUACAUGCAAGUCGAGCGAACAGACGAGGAGCUUGCUCCUCUGACGUUAGCGGCGGACGGGUGAGUAACACGUGGAUAACCUACCUAUAAGACUGGGAUAACUUCGGGAAACCGGAGCUAAUACCGGACAAUAUAUUGAACCGCAUGGUUCAAUAGUGAAAGACGGUUUUGCUGUCACUUAUAGAUGGAUCCGCGCCGCAUUAGCUAGUUGGUAAGUUAACGGCUUACCAAGGCAACGAUGCGUAGCCGACCUGAGAGGGUGAGCGGCCACACUGGAACUGAGACACGGUCCAGACUCCUACGGGAGGCAGCAGUAGGGAAUCUUACGCAAUGGGCGAAAGCCUGACGGAGCAACGCCGCGUGAGUGAUGAAGGUCUUCGGAUCGUAAAACUCUGUUAUUAGGGAAGAACAAAUGUGUAAGUAACUAUGCACGUAUUGACGGUACCUAAUCAGAAAGCCACGGCUAACUACGUG
This 497-nucleotide ribosomal RNA is filed under the name uncultured bacterium. Its description in RNAcentral is "partial 16S ribosomal RNA". It matches the Rfam family "Bacterial small subunit ribosomal RNA", at positions 28 to 507 of the family's 1533-position model. The record is from RNAcentral.